Molecule: ribosomal RNA, 1221 nt
Filed under: uncultured Bacteroidota bacterium
Lineage: Bacteria; Pseudomonadati; Bacteroidota
Description: bacterial SSU rRNA
Rfam family: Bacterial small subunit ribosomal RNA
Source: RNAcentral
GUCGAGGGGCAUCACNAGGUAGCAAUACUUUGGUGGCGACCGGCGCACGGGUGCGUAACGCGUAUGUAACCUACCUAUAACAGGGGCAUAACACUGAGAAAUUGGUACUAAUUCCCCAUAAUAUUCGGAGAGGCAUCUCUCCGGGUUGAAAACUCCGGUGGUUAUAGAUGGACAUGCGUUGUAUUAGCUAGUUGGUGAGGUAACGGCUCACCAAGGCAACGAUACAUAGGGGGACUGAGAGGUUAACCCCCCACACUGGUACUGAGACACGGACCAGACUCCUACGGGAGGCAGCAGUGAGGAAUAUUGGUCAAUGGACGCAAGUCUGAACCAGCCAUGCCGCGUGCAGGAAGACGGCUCUAUGAGUUGUAAACUGCUUUUGUACGAGGGUAAACUCACCUACGUGUAGGUGACUGAAAGUAUCGUACGAAUAAGGAUCGGCUAACUCCGUGCCAGCAGCCGCGGUAAUACGGAGGAUUCAAGCGUUAUCCGGAUUUAUUGGGUUUAAAGGGUGCGUAGGCGGUUUGAUAAGUUAGAGGUGAAAUCCCGGGGCUUAACUCCGGAACUGCCUCUAAUACUGUUAGACUAGAGAGUAGUUGCGGUAGGCGGAAUGUAUGGUGUAGCGGUGAAAUGCUUAGAGAUCAUACAGAACACCGAUUGCGAAGGCAGCUUACCAAACUAUAUCUGACGUUGAGGCACGAAAGCGUGGGGAGCAAACAGGAUUAGAUACCCUGGUAGUCCACGCAGUAAACGAUGAUAACUCGUUGUCGGCGAUACACAGUCGGUGACUAAGCGAAAGCGAUAAGUUAUCCACCUGGGGAGUACGUUCGCAAGAAUGAAACUCAAAGGAAUUGACGGGGGCCCGCACAAGCGGAGGAACAUGUGGUUUAAUUCGAUGAUACGCGAGAAACCUUACCCGGGCUUGAAAGUUAUUGACGAUUCUGGAAACAGGAUUUCCCUUUGGGGCAGGAAACUAGGUGCUGCAUGGUUGUCGUCAGCUCGUGCCGUGAGGUGUCGGGUUAAGUCCCAUAACGAGCGCAACCCCUACCGUUAGUUGCCAUCAGGUCAAGCUGGGCACUCUGGCGGGACUGCCGGUGUAAGCCGAGAGGAAGGUGGGGAUGACGUCAAAUCAGCACGGCCCUUACGUCCGGGGCUACACACGUGUUACAAUGGUAGGUACAGAGGGUCGCUACCCCGCGAGGGGAUGCCAAUCUCGAAAGC